Siniperca chuatsi (mandarin fish) is the source of this 340-nucleotide long non-coding RNA. RefSeq lists it as uncharacterized. The record is from RefSeq and is a predicted model, not a curated record. The transcript has 3 exons. NCBI's taxonomy places the organism in Eukaryota, Metazoa, Chordata, Actinopteri, Centrarchiformes, Sinipercidae.
GUAAAACUGUUCCUUCAGGCGGCAGUGGAGGGAAGCAGCAGUCGACUUUUGGUGGCGAGAGAGCGGGGCUCAGCGGUUAUCCUUCUCUCCAUGAAGAAAAUGGCCCCCCUCCCCGACUGAUGCCGGCACCAGACCCUACUGCUGUGCCACCCUCGAUCUGCACCCCUCCGCUCCUCCUGGAGUCACUGCCGCCGUCGCCCGUGGCCUGUCUGUGCUGCUAUCCAGGGGACUCCCUCCCUCCCCCGGAGAGCUCUGGGGCUCCAUGGGAAACUCAGAGGUCUGGACGUGUGAGAGUGAGGCCUGGGCCUGCUCCAGACCACCCCCCUCCCCCCGUGACGAC